CAAUAGCGUAUAUUAAAGUUGUUGCGGUAAAAAAGCUCGUAGUUGGAUUUCUACCGAAGAUCGCCGGUCGGGUCUUCGACCUUGUAUCUGGUUUUGUCUUUGGUAUCCUCAUAGGGAACGUUUCUGCGCUUUAUUGCGUGGUGCGGUAUCUAUGACUUUUACUUUGAGGAAAUUAGAGUGUUCACGGCAGGCAAACGCCUUGAAUAUAUUAGCAUGGAAUAAUAACAUAGGAUCUUCGUCCUAUUUUGUUGGUUUCUAGGGCUAAGAUAAUGAUUAAUAGGGAUAAUUGGGGGCAUCUGUAUCAACGCGUCAGAGGUGGAAUUCUUGGAUUGCGUUGCGACAAACUACUGCGAAAGCAUUUGCCAAGGAUGUUUUCAUUGA
Molecule: ribosomal RNA, 381 nt
Filed under: uncultured eukaryote
Lineage: Eukaryota
Description: partial 18S ribosomal RNA
Rfam family: Eukaryotic small subunit ribosomal RNA
Source: RNAcentral